Molecule: transfer RNA, 61 nt
Filed under: Cavia porcellus (domestic guinea pig)
Lineage: Eukaryota; Metazoa; Chordata; Mammalia; Rodentia; Caviidae
Rfam family: tRNA
About the family: Transfer RNA (tRNA) molecules are approximately 80 nucleotides in length. Their secondary structure includes four short double-helical elements and three loops (D, anti-codon, and T loops).
Source: Rfam by way of RNAcentral
UGUAGCUUAGUGGUAGAGCGCUUGCCUAGCGUGCAUAAGGCCCUGGGUUCCACUUCCAGCA